This 268-nucleotide long non-coding RNA is filed under the name Vigna radiata. Its description in RNAcentral is "long non-coding RNA (VRAD_LNC014293)". The record is from RNAcentral. Lineage: Eukaryota; Viridiplantae; Streptophyta; Magnoliopsida; Fabales; Fabaceae.
AGAAAAAGAAAAAAAAAACAGUUGAACAAAUCUGGUUGUGUGAAAAAAAAAAAGAAAAGAGCAGGUCUGGAAAAAGAGCUAAAAUGCAAAAGAAUUGAAAAUGAGACCUGAACAAGUUGAAAACCAGAGAGAAAAAAAAAGGAAGAAAUUGAAUUGGCCAAAGUUAAAUGCACAUUGCACUAAGUUCUAGGUUCCUUACUUCUCUUCCAGUUUCUAUUUCCAUUUAGCCUUGCGUUUUGUGACCCUUCAUACCAUUCAUUACAAGCCA